CCCCCCACUGGUCUUCUAAGCAGAUUGAAGCUGCUUCAUCUUACUCCUGAUUCAUCUUGAUUCUCUUCAGUGGUUUGUUCUUGCAUUAGUGAUGUAAAACUGCCCCAAAUAGGUUUAAAGUGGUCAGAACUUGCUCUUGACCAGUUCAAAUAUUUUCUCACAAGAAAAAAUCAGUUCUGACCAGUUCAAAUCUAUUUUGACCAGUUUAAACUCUGCAGAGCUGGAGUCUGAUGUCGGUAAACCCAGGAAGAUGGCUGAAGAUGAUGCUGAUUCAAGCCAAAGCAAGGAUUCAGGCAACAAAAAAUGACAUGCCAUCAUUUCUUCAAUUUGAUUUCCUUGAUUGCAACUGGAAAAAUGGAAGUGUUUUAACAAUAAUGUUAAUAUUGCAUUGUCUGCAUAUAUAUAUCUAUAUAUACAGAAACACAUGUAAACAAGCUUAAUCGUGAGAAAACCAUUGGAAAAAUCCCAGUUGAGGAGAAUUCUAUGAAAUACUUGACCAGUACCUCAAAUCCAUCAAGGUCAUCAACAAGGAAAAUCUGAGAAACUGUCAGAGCCAAGAGGAGUCUAAGAAGACAUGACAACUAAAUGUAAUGUGGUAUCCUGGAUGGCAUGCUGGAAUAGAAAAAAGGACCUUAGUGCCCAGAAGCUCUACUCUCUGGAGAUGCUCAGCCCAUGGAGUGAUGUCUGGGGUCUGAGGUGCUGGUGCUGAUGGGGAGGAAAGAGCUGUUUCCUGCUUCCCAGCUGCUAUGCCUGUCUCCAUCGUCAGAACCUGUGGGCUGCACACACAGGAGCAUAUGCAGUCUGGUGCAGCCUUCUUUCCUGUUGCUCUUUAAGGAUUAGUUG
Molecule: non-coding RNA, 843 nt
Organism: Manis javanica (Malayan pangolin)
Lineage: Eukaryota; Metazoa; Chordata; Mammalia; Pholidota; Manidae
Source: RefSeq, a predicted model, not a curated record